RNAcentral lists this ribosomal RNA (253 nucleotides) under uncultured bacterium. RNAcentral's name for it is "partial 16S ribosomal RNA". It matches the Rfam family "Bacterial small subunit ribosomal RNA", at positions 524 to 776 of the family's 1533-position model. The record is from RNAcentral.
UACGUAGGGGGCAAGCGUUGAUCGGAAUUACUGGGCUUAAAGCGCGCGUAGGUGGUUUGUUAAGUUGAAUGUGAAAUCCCCGGGCUCAACCUGGGAACUGCAGUCGAGACUGUCUAGCUAGAGUAUGGGAGAGGGAAGUGGAAUUUCAGGUGUAGCGGUGAAAUGCGUAGAUAUCUGAAGGAACAUCAGUGGCGAAAGCGACUUCCUGGACCAAUACUGACGCUCAUGUGCGAAAGCGUGGGGAGCAAACAGG